RNAcentral lists this ribosomal RNA (460 nucleotides) under uncultured bacterium. RNAcentral describes it as "partial 16S ribosomal RNA". It matches the Rfam family "Bacterial small subunit ribosomal RNA", at positions 338 to 795 of the family's 1533-position model. The record is from RNAcentral.
CCUACGGGUGGCAGCAGUGAGGAAUAUUGGUCAAUGGCCGGAAGGCUGAACCAGCCAAGCCGCGUGAAGGACGAAGGUGCCAAGCAUUGUAAACUUCUUUUGUCAAGGGACAAAAUCAGGCUCGAGAGCCUGACCGAGGGUACUUGAAGAAAAAGCAUCGGCUAACUCCGUGCCAGCAGCCGCGGUAAUACGUAGGUGGCAAGCGUUGUCCGGAUUUACUGGGUGUAAAGGGCGUGUAGCCGGGAAGGCAAGUCAGAUGUGAAAUCUGGAGGCUCAACCUCCAAAUUGCAUUUGAAACUGUUUGUCUUGAGUACUGGAGAGGCAGACGGAAUUCCUUGUGUAGCGGUGAAAUGCGUAGAUAUAAGGAGGAACACCAGUGGCGAAGGCGGUCUGCUGGACAGCAACUGACGGUGAGGCGCGAAAGCGUGGGGAGCAAACAGGAUUAGAUACCCUAGUAGUC